UAUUGAGAAGCGACUUUUCGCUCCUAGUUUCGGCCUAGGCCCAGGCAAUAAUCAAUUUGCCCUUAAUUU
This 69-nucleotide transfer RNA is filed under the name Synalpheus microneptunus. Its description in RNAcentral is "tRNA-Arg". The record is from RNAcentral. Lineage: Eukaryota; Metazoa; Arthropoda; Malacostraca; Decapoda; Alpheidae.